CAGCCUCAGACCGAAGUUUGUAUUAACCUGAGCGUAAGGUCCCGACUGAAACACAGACACAGAGGAACCAAACUUCGCAGGGAGGCGAACCUGACCACCGUUUGCCUGGAGUGAAGAAAAAGAAAAAACAAGAGUGAAGAGACCUUAGAAGUGUGAGCUGUUUGAGAAACUUGGGAGAGACGUGUUUGUGGUUUGUUGCUCAGCGAGGGAUUUGUUGCGGAAGCCCUGAUCUGCACCUCACCUGUCCAGCCAAGAUGGAUAGAGGGGAGGAACGCCAAACCUGUUUUCUCAAAAGUGCUAUUAGACCAGCUCUCUGAAAGCAACCAGGACAGAUAGAUGUUCUUUAUCAAUUCUGCAGUCCAUAUCAGAUCUGGUCCUAAAGGUCAGCAGGUGGAGAGAAUCAAUCUACACCUUGCCCUUUUUAACUGAGGAACAGGUCACACCAUGCAGUAGAGGAGAGGUUGUGUACUGCAUCAUGUUCCUGCUGCUGCUCUCUCUCUCUGUCUCUCUCUCUCUCACACACACACACACACACACACACACACACACACACACACACACACACACACAAACUAUCAGGUCAAGGUCAUUGCUUUUGUUCCAAACUGUUGCAAUCACUGACCUUUCGUGUUUUCGUCUGCAGUCACUGCGGUAUCUGUCUGUAAUCGGGAUUCCUCUCUCACACAGAGUCUUAUUUCAUCUUCAGACCUUUUAAAAGCUUUUAAAAGUCAGGAUAGAAAUUCACUGUUUGCACAGCAUUUGGAAGGUUACUGAGAAAAGGGUCACCUUUAAUGGCACAGAACUCUUUUUGGGAAGCACACAUGGCAGGAAUAUCUCAGAAAACAUGUCUCCCCAAAAUAAAAAAUAAAAAACCUAUCUACUAGAGUCUCCCUCUCUACAUUUUGAAUAGCAUUUAAUUAAUUUAUGCAAAUUUAUUUUUUUAAAUACUUCCAUUAUUACAUUAUAUAUUGUUUACAUAUGACUGUUUGUACUUCCUUUAAUUUAAUUCAGUUAAUUUUUCUUGUCAGCAUUGUUUUGUGUAAUAUUCAACUUUUUUUUAAAUGAAUGUAUUUCUGUCAUGAAAGUCUCCAUUAAGCAUAAAAAAAAUGACAAGAAAAGCCUUAAAAGAAAAACAUCCAGACACAUUAGUAAUGGCUGUACAAGGACAAAUGUGCUUAACUGUCAUAAAAGUAAUGGCACAAAGCAAAACGUCUUAAUGGUUCUAAAUGGCUUAAUUUUCUUUAUGCAAAAUAGAGAUAUAUAUAUUUUACUUUUGUUUUGGGGGGUGAAAUGUGAUGUUUUAUGAGAUUCACAAGAACAAACGUUAAAUGAGCAGCAGAUAUGGAUCUUUAGAUGGGCGUCUGUCUUGCCGAGGGUGAAUGGAGGCAGGGGAUUCAUGGCUGAAUGUGGCUCCUGUUGUUCUACAUUGGCAGAGCAAGUGAAUUGUGUUAGAUAUGAUCAAUAGAUGUGAGCAGCCAGCGUUUAAUUGCCUUUUGUUAACAUGGAGGUGUUUGACAGAAGGAAAGGCGAGUCCCCUAGGGCUGAGCAAGGGUGUUAGUGGAUGUGGGAGAAUGUGUGUGCGUUCACCAUUCUACAGUACAUGCAGGAUAUGCUUGGACCUUUGUUCCUGCUGAUGCCACAUUAAUUGCAAAUUCAACUCAAAUGCUCUGGAAACGUUGCCUGUUUUCCUUUCAAGGCCCGUAGCAUAGCCUAUGCAACUAUGCUAACGAAAACGCUUCUAGCUACACAAACCAGGGUCAAUGCGCUAUUAAAUAUGUCAGACUGCAGUUCAUACUGCAAGACAAGUACCUAUUGCAGAGUCCCACCGGGCAUUAGUGUAAGCUCUUGUUUUAUGGUCCGUUCUCUGUUUCAGGUCAACUAUCUUCAUGAAAGGGCACAAGUUUGAAGAGAAUGUUAAAACAGUUUUAAGUUAUGUUUAUAACAGCUAUCUGAAUAACAACACAUAUGGUUUAAUGGCAUCGACAUUUGAAAAGGUUUGUUAGCGAAACAAAAACACAUUAAGUAUGGACAUCCAGCAGCAGGGUCAAA
This is a long non-coding RNA of Cyprinus carpio (common carp), 2049 nucleotides long. RefSeq lists it as uncharacterized. The transcript is spliced from 4 exons. The record is from RefSeq and is a predicted model, not a curated record. Lineage: Eukaryota; Metazoa; Chordata; Actinopteri; Cypriniformes; Cyprinidae.